UACGUAGGGUGCAAGCGUUGUUCGGAUUCAUUGGGCGUAAAGGGAGCGUAGGUGGCGGGGUUAGUCAGGUGUGAAAUCUCGGGGCUCAACCCCGAAACUGCACUUGAUACUGCCUUGCUAGAGUACUGGAGAGGAGAUUGGAAUUUACGGUGUAGCAGUGAAAUGCGUAGAUAUCGUAAGGAAGACCAGUGGCGAAGGCGAAUCUCUGGACAGUUACUGACACUGAGGCUCGAAGGCCAGGGGAGCAAACGGG
Molecule: ribosomal RNA, 253 nt
Filed under: uncultured bacterium
Lineage: Bacteria
Description: partial 16S ribosomal RNA
Rfam family: Bacterial small subunit ribosomal RNA
Source: RNAcentral